GGGUCGUUAGCUCAGUUGGUAGAGCAGUUGACUUUUAAUCAAUUGGUCGCAGGUUCGAAUCCUGCACGACCCACCC
Molecule: transfer RNA, 76 nt
Filed under: Escherichia coli
Lineage: Bacteria; Pseudomonadati; Pseudomonadota; Gammaproteobacteria; Enterobacterales; Enterobacteriaceae
Also listed under: 4 other names
Description: tRNA-Lys
Rfam family: tRNA
About the family: Transfer RNA (tRNA) molecules are approximately 80 nucleotides in length. Their secondary structure includes four short double-helical elements and three loops (D, anti-codon, and T loops).
Source: RNAcentral